UCCAUAUGCUUGCGUCGGGAUAUAUUGGAAAUAUAAUCACUAUCAGCGAGGACGAGCGUUGCGUUCUGAGCUAUCUUUAAUAUAUUUGCUGUCGACAUGGUCUGCGAUUGUUAUUGAAAUCGAUGGUUAUUAAGGGCGGCCAUUUUAAUACAUCCCCAUUACUUUCCACAUAUAGCAAUUAUAUGUCAUCACGCGGGGGAGAACUAGGAGGUCGAAUGGUGUGAGCGUGACUGGAAUAAAAUAUCGAUAGCAAGAAUUAAAAAGGUGCGCGGACGUUGGCACGUCUCGAGGGCGACCCCCGAUAUCCCGAUAAUAGACAGUAAAAGUAUAAUGCAUGGUGAUAAAAGAUAACUUCACCCCGAGAUAAUAGUCCUGCGAAAGGGAAUUCGAUUUUUGAGAACAUCCUGCGAUAAAACUAUAAGAUGAUCUGUGAAAUUAUUAGGAGAUCCUUAAGGGUUUCAGUGCGUUUCCCGCGUCUUUAAAAGUCGCGAGCUCAGAGAAAUUUGUGAGGAUAUUUAUUUUAAACAAACACUGCCGAUUUUUCAAACAGUUUGACGUGCUUGCGUUGAUCCUGUGAGUUUAAGUGAUACUCGAUAUUAGCAGCAAAAUUUUAAGUGCGACACCAUCGAUUAAUUUUACUGUGGGACAUCCUGUGAGUCAUCGAGAAUUAUUGAAGGAAGUGCUGUACGUUCGUGAAACUCGUGUCGUCUUUGCGUCAUUCAUCUUCUCUCUUACGCAUCUUUCAUGUCAAAAAUAGAACUCUGUGCGUCGCGAAAUUCCUUCUCGGACACGUCAAUAUUGGUGCUCGUAUAACGAAGAAUAAAUCAUAAAACGAGCAUCGAGGGAAGCUGCGAUCAUCACUCGGCAUGAAGGACAUGCAUUGGCUCGUUUGCACCUGCAUCCUCACGGCGACGACGGUGCUUUCUUGCCGGCAGAGCGAAUUUCAGUGCGCCAACGGGCACUGCGUCGCCCUCAACAAAGUUUGUAACGUUGUGGACGACUGUGGUGAUGGGAGCGACGAGACGCGUCCAUGCUCGCCUUGCAAUAAAACGUACUAUGGCGAUGUGGGGAAGACGUACGAUCUGGAAUUGCAUCGACCGAAGGAAGAUAAGGUGCCUUACAUUUGCAAGCUCACCUUCAACGCGCCAGGUGACGAUUUCGGUGAUAUCGUGCAGUUGACCUUCGAUAGCUUUACUCUAGGCAAAUUCGUAUCGUUCACCGCGGCAGGAUGUCCCGACGGGUCCCUACAAAUCUCAGAAGUGGAGCGUCCCGACGUCGGCGGACUUUGGUGUGGCACGUCCUGGGGACCCGCAAUCUACUACAGCGAAACACCCAGCGUCUCGAUCAUCCUCAAGUUGCUCAGGCUCAGCAAAGAUCAGACGGGAUUCAACUUCGACUUUAGAAUGGCGUACAAGAUGAUCAAGAAGUCCGACGCGGUGGUACGCUACGGAAAUCCCUUCGUCGGAAUAACGCAGGUCGUCGGAACGCCGGCGUCGACCGAGCGCACGUCCGCCGAGUACGCGAACACGUCGAUGGCGAUGCCGGUGCAAAUGGUCGAGCAACACGUGCCAUCACCUACGAAACCAAGCUCCGAGCAGUUCUUAGGGGACCUAAUAUCCGGGACUUAUUGCUCCCGUAUAUUCACCGACUGCGACCGGAAGAAGUGCAGAUUGCAGUCGCCUAACUUCCCCGGUCUCUAUCCUCGCAAUCUCACCUGUUAUUACGCGGUGAGACAGCACGAGGUACCGGCGGGCAAGCAUGCUUUAAUACACGUAAAACAGCCCCGAGGCCAAUUGGUAGCUGUAAGAGCGCGACCAGCAACUCAAGCCGAGGCGCCACCCCGGGAACUGCGUCUCUGGCAAGAUUGCGACGUCGUUCAGGACUACGUAACAGUGUAUGACGGAUACACCACUAGGGAGCCCGUGAUCUUAAAAUUUUGUGGCGGCGGGGAGCCGGUGCCGGAGGCCAUCAGCAGCGGUCCGGAAAUCCUUGUGGAGUUUACUACCUCUCCUUAUGGCACCUUCUUACAUCCGACGCCGCCCCAUUCUCUACAUGGGUUUCAAUUAGAAGUGCAAGUCACGUUCGUAGAUGCCGAAUCGCCGACCUACGCCAAGAAUAAGCGUUGUGAAUUCUGGUUGAGGGGCACCGGUGGCGGCAUCCUGGCGUCGCCACGUCACUCACUGCCAAGAAACAGCACCUGCCUGUAUCAUCUUCGUGGAGCUGGUCCCACUUUGCCGAGUCCGACGCCGCCGCGGCCGCUACCGAAGUUUCCAGAACAAAGACCCGGUACAGUCUGGAGGAGACCAGCCCCGAGACCACCGCAGCCGCAAUUCCGCGUCUGGCUAUCUAUCCUCAAAUUCCACGUAGGCACCAGUCUGUCUAGCACCGACGAGGAUUGCUCGACGACGCUGAUGGUCUGGGAUGGCGAGAUGAUGCCGUUAUCGGAAUGCAACGAUGUUGUUUGUGAAAAAGAACGUCAACGUUACGCUGAAAGAAUGGGCGAUCCAAUUCAACCCGUUCUUGCGCGUCCCUCGAGCAAUACCACAUUGUUAGCGAGAUAUUGUAAGGACAAAGUGCCGAAGACUUGCGAUCAUGCUAUUCUACAGAACACCAGUCGUCCGUGUUCUUUGGUAGAAAGUUUCGUCUCCUCUGGCAGUAGUCUAACUAUAGAGAUGCGUAUGGUCGAGUCAACAGCGCUUAGACCUGUAAACUUUCGCGCUAUGUACGAAUUCGUCGAUCUUCACCAGGAUGGCGACCCUUACGGCAGCGGUCCGUGUUCUCGCAUUUUCUACAGUCGAACUCGAGACCAUUAUUCAGAUCGUAAAUUUCAAGGACCGCGCGACAUAUUCCUAUAUGGUCGCGGAGGAUCGAAGAACAUAAGCUGCGUGUACCGUUUCGAAGGAGAACACGACGAGGUGGUGAAGCUGAGGUUCAACAAGCUUCUCAAUGGAAAUCGCACCUGCCGCAGCGUUGGUAACUCUGAUUUCAAUAGGCUGCUCUGCGUUGACUCUGAGAACUUCUCGGUUAAGGUGCUUGAUUUACCCUGGCCAAAUGCGCCGCCUAUCCAGCGAGAUUGUCUCUGUUCGAAUCGAUCGUUACCCAUCAAUAUCAAAUCUACCUCUAAUAUUGCCGAGGUACAUUUCAAUGUUCUAUCUAUGGACGCCUUGGAUGAUUACAAUAAUCUCUUCUUCGAGGGCACCUGGGACUUCGUCAAGACGAUGCCUUGCAUGCAGAAACGUAGAGUUAGGGGGCCGUCUGGUGAAAUUAAAUACACACCACCAAUCGACGAUGACGAGAAAAAUUGCGAGAACCAGCCGUGGCUAAUUGAUCCUGGUCCGGGUCAGUAUUUAUACGUGAAAAUGGACGGAGUAAUUGUAUCGAAUAAUACGAAGUGCGCGACCAAGAAUCGCAUCAUCGUGUACACAGGUGGAGCGAUACACGUAUCGGUAUGCCCGAAACCACCUGCUGACUCGAGUCAUCAUGUGGUAGAGGUGUUUAGCGACGGUUGGGCUGUCAGCAGCAACGCGAUGAUCCUCGCACCGGGACAGGAUCCAAUCAGGACUAUCGCCGUGGAAUUCAUCAUAAAAGAACCAGCUUCCUACAUUGUGACGUGGCUCGAGCUCACUAGAAGACCGUCGGUGACGUCAACGGCAGGUCUACAAAUGUCGCGGGAUUGUGAGCAACGAUGCCCGGAGCUGGACGCCUGCAUAAACGCCUCGCUAUGGUGCGACGGAGUGUCCCAUUGUCCAUCCGGCUACGACGAGGCCCUGACGCAUUGCUCCGUGUUGCUGCAACUGCCGCCGUUGCAACUAGCUCUGGGCGCGCUCUUUGUAAUCACCGUCCUCGGUGUCAUUUGCUUCAUCGUCUGGCGGGCCUGCCGACGGCGCGGUCGCCGUUCGAUAUCCCAGCAUCGUCUGAAGAGCAUCUCCUCCGAGACGGCGAUAAUCGACGGCAAAGAAGUGAUAUGCUGACACAGCGACAGUUCUGUGCGUUACGUCGAGGUCGACCGGGUCACCACUGUGUGACGAUCGCCGUCGUCCACGUCGUCGUCGGUAUGGGUUCCGACGGUCCUCUAUAGAUCAGCGGUCAGACUCUGCUCGGCUUUAUUCUCCUGAAGAAGUCGCCGAGCCGGCCGCCACCGGAGGAUCCGCGGAACUGCCUCCACGUAACGCGCAGAACUGUCGCGUGCAAGAGAUUUGGGACGUUAGGUGGAUAAACCGGAGCUCAUCUAUGAUCAGAAAACGCGUUCGAUGCUCGAUGACUCGGGCGAGUGGGAGAACGCUUUUUUUUUGCCGAACGAACACUUUCGUUCCCGGUCGGUUGUUCUUGGGAGGGGACGUCGUGAAUUGUAAAGCAGCGACUGGAACGUGCUUAGGAUUAUAAGUUCGGUGAUGUCUACGUCGGAGCACAAAACAGCGCGAAGUAAAACGUGUAACGGCGGAUUAAUCCGGCGAUGUGAUGUAAUGUUUAUGACGUAUAGCUUUGGUCAGUACGUUACAACGCACGCACAGUCGUCUACAUCUAUUUUUUAAGUAAAUUUCUAACAAUAUACUGCCAGUGGAAUUUUCUCAUUUUAAAAGACUGAAUCGUUUUGUAACUUUUUAAAUAAAAAAAAAAUAAAUAAAUUUUAACGUAUCUGAGAUACUUGUUUUCGAUUGUCAAUUUUUAACAGACGCGUGAAAUCAAGACAACUUUCAGCAGACGCGCGAUCGAGUUCACUGUCGAGGCCUCGAUCCAUCUUCGCAGACAUCGAAAUAAUCACUGCCGCGAUAACCGGCGGGUUCCGGAAGUUCCCGAAUUCUGAUACUUUCGUUAUCUUCGCGUGCAAGAUCUUAUUAUUCUUGCGCGAGAAGCAUUAUUACUUCUCGAAGUACCGUUACACGUCCCAUCCCGGAUCCACGAGAAAGUUUUAAUGAUUCCCCGUCGAGCUGCCCGAAAAUCAUCUCAAAUGAGGAGAAAAAAGUUGGAGAGAGAGAGAGAGAGAGAGAAUCGCGUAAUGUAGGUCGCAGAGAAACUAAAGUGAAACUACUUUAACGAGGACAAUAAGUAAUAAAAUCCUAGUAAUAUGUCGCUAUUACGGUAGAAUGGCUUAGUGACGAUCGAACGACGCUGCGCCUUGAUUGAACUUCGACGAUUAGUGCAGCUGAAAGAUUAUGUAGUAUGGGAUUGCCAUUUUAACGCAAUGCCGAGAACGCUAUAAGGUAAACGAUGCGACGGGGAAAGCUUAGCAGAUCAAUAAUGCGUUGUUAGGGAAUUAUAGCAAGUUAUUAUAAGCCAGUUUCAUCAACAUCGCGUUGACCUCAACCGCGUUUUAACGGUUAAGUUCGAUGCACCUCUGAUUCUAUUAAAGACGAUAAUUAACAGAUGUCGAUGAAACUGGCCUAGUAUUACCUUAUCUCAUUUACAUUAACAUCACUUAGAAGAUAAAAUCGUCUUACAUAUAUAGAGCCACUUUUUUCCAAUUAACAGAUACACAAAGUAUUUAUAUUUGAUAUUACACAACAUGUCUCGCGAACGUUAUCGAGAUAACGCUCGAGUGAUCGUAGCAGAACAAAUUUUCGCAUCGAUGACGUUAAUUUUCCAAGGCGCCACGUCGGUCCGAUUGACACGUCUCGAUUAAAAACACCUCGUUCGGAAAUCCGAGACAUCGAGCGUCGCGCGCAACAUGUUAGUACUAAAAACGUUAGGUCUCCUUGAGAAUAAGAGUAGACAAGCAAUUUUAGAGCCGAGGCGAACUCCUCCUGUCUCGUCUCGUGUUCCAUACUUUUCUUUUCUUCUGGUCGCGCGUGACAUAUUCACACAACAUUGUCUGUAAAAAAUAGAUAAUUCAGAAUGGUUGACGCGCACGUUGCGUGUCAAAUCGUCGCAACGUUACUAGAUAAUAAAUCAAGAUGUCGAUCGAGAGAGGUGUUAAAUAUUUAACGCAAUGUGACGUACUAUAUUGCGGCCGUGGUGACGCAAAAAAACUUUAACGUUGCCACUUAUUGUUUACUGCCAAAAGUAGUCGAUUAUACCUCGCCGACAGCGAAUAAAAGUUUCGAAUAUUACAUUUACAUGCAUCAUAUAAAUGUAUUACAGUUACAUGUGUUCGGCAUUGUUUAUGGAAUCCGAUCAGUUUUCUAUAGAUCGUUUUAUUGCGCUAACUGUUAUUAUUUUGUUUAAAAAAUUGCGAUAAGAUACCGAACACACGAUACGGGAAUUGCAAGGAUUUCCUUUUCGUAUCAUGGCCGCAGACUUCUUUCAGACGUCUGCAUUGCGCUCAGGUUUCAUUUCGACGUGAGCAGUGCAUGAAGUUGCAACUUAAACUACGAGUGAGAUGGAUAAAGUAAUUCGUGUGAUGAAAAGGGAGAAAAUUUCGCUCACUCAAUUGACUGUAGUAAGCGAAGAAAUAAAAUCCUGAUCAAUUUUACGAGAGUUCUGAAUUAUCGAUCAGAAAUAUAUGUCCUGAUUGUGGGAAUGCAGCGUUAUCGCAACGAGCUCACGUUGAAACGCAGCCUCAGCCGACGACGAAAAGUUUCAGCUAGAGAUAUACUGACCAAGUUUCAAGCGAUAGCCGACUUUAGGCGACUUAAUUAUUCAUUUUAGCGACAUCACCUCGGAAAGGGGGUGGAUAAUAUGUAGACUUCAGUAG
Molecule: unclassified non-coding RNA, 6631 nt
Filed under: Acromyrmex echinatior (Panamanian leafcutter ant)
Lineage: Eukaryota; Metazoa; Arthropoda; Insecta; Hymenoptera; Formicidae
Description: uncharacterized LOC105145084, transcript variant X3
Source: RNAcentral